This 443-nucleotide ribosomal RNA is filed under the name uncultured Streptococcus sp. RNAcentral's name for it is "bacterial SSU rRNA". It matches the Rfam family "Bacterial small subunit ribosomal RNA", at positions 938 to 1382 of the family's 1533-position model. Lineage: Bacteria; Bacillati; Bacillota; Bacilli; Lactobacillales; Streptococcaceae. The record is from RNAcentral.
CAUGUGGUUUAAUUCGAAGCAACGCGUAAGAACCUUACCAGGUCUUGACAUCCCGAUGCUAUUUCUAGAGAUAGAAAGUUACUUCGGUACAUCGGUGACAGGUGGUGCAUGGUUGUCGUCAGCUCGUGUCGUGAGAUGUUGGGUUAAGUCCCGCAACGAGCGCAACCCCUAUUGUUAGUUGCCAUCAUUCAGUUGGGCACUCUAGCGAGACUGCCGGUAAUAAACCGGAGGAAGUGGGGAUGACGUCAAAUCAUCAUGCCCCUUAUGACCUGGGCUACACACGUGCUACAAUGGUUGGUACAACGAGUUGCGAGUCGGUGACGGCGAGCUAAUCUCUUAAAGCCAAUCUCAGUUCGGAUUGUAGGCUGCAACUCGCCUACAUGAAGUCGGAAUCGCUAGUAAUCGCGGAUCAGCACGCCGCGGUGAAUACGUUCCCGGGCCUU